This 253-nucleotide ribosomal RNA is filed under the name uncultured bacterium. RNAcentral describes it as "partial 16S ribosomal RNA". It matches the Rfam family "Bacterial small subunit ribosomal RNA", at positions 524 to 776 of the family's 1533-position model. The record is from RNAcentral.
UACGGGGGGAGCAAGCGUUGUUCGGAUUUACUGGGCGUAAAGGGCGCGUAGGCGGCGUGACAAGUCACUUGUGAAAUCUCCGGGCUUAACUCGGAACGGUCAAGUGAUACUGUCGUGCUAGAGUACAGAAGGGGCAACUGGAAUUCUCGGUGUAGCGGUGAAAUGCGUAGGUAUCGAGAGGAACACCUGCGGCGAAGGCGGGUUGCUGGGCUGAUACUGACGCUGAGGCGCGAAAGCCAGGGGAGCGAACGGG